The sequence is a regulatory RNA element, 138 nucleotides long. It matches the Rfam family "Ribosomal protein L20 leader". Rfam says of the family: This family is a putative r-protein leader autoregulatory structure found in B. subtilis and other low-GC Gram-positive bacteria. The record is from Rfam.
AAAAGAAAGCAGAAGCAUCCCGCUUCUCGCCUAAGGAAUAAGAAAGUUCCGGGGCAGAAUUAUAAAACUAAUUCCGAUAAAACGGAUCAUGUGCGGGGUGUUGUCAUGUAUUUGACAAGACCCCGCUUUUUCUGUCUG